GAUGAACGCUGGCGGCGUGCCUAAUACAUGCAAGUCGAGCGAACAGACGAGGAGCUUGCUCCUCUGACGUUAGCGGCGGACGGGUGAGUAACACGUGGAUAACCUACCUAUAAGACUGGGAUAAAUUCGGGGAACCGGAGCUAAUACCGGAUAAUAUAUUGAACCGCAUGGUUCAAUAGUGAAAGACGGUUUUGCUGUCACUUAUAGAUGGAUCCGCGCCGCAUUAGCUAGUUGGUAAGGUAACGGCUUACCAAGGCAACGAUGCGUAGCCGACCUGAGAGGGUGAUCGGCCACACUGGAACUGAGACACGGUCCAGACUCCUACGGGAGGCAGCAGGAGGGAAUCUUCCGCAAGGGGCGAAAGCUUGACGGAGCAACGCCGCGUGAGUGAUGAAGGUCUGCGUAUCGUAAAACUCUGUUAUGAGGGAAGAACAAAUGUGUAAGUAACUAUGCACGUCUGGACGGUACCUAAUCAGAAAGCCACGGCUAACUACGU
Molecule: ribosomal RNA, 496 nt
Filed under: uncultured bacterium
Lineage: Bacteria
Description: partial 16S ribosomal RNA
Rfam family: Bacterial small subunit ribosomal RNA
Source: RNAcentral